Dovyalis caffra is the source of this 67-nucleotide non-coding RNA. Lineage: Eukaryota; Viridiplantae; Streptophyta; Magnoliopsida; Malpighiales; Salicaceae. The record is from the annotation of a GenBank genome assembly.
GCUGCUUAAAUGGUUGAGCUCUCGUUUUGCAUGCAAGAGGCACGGGGUUCGAUCCCCCGCAUCUCCA